ACCCUAUCAUUUUGUGUUGUCAAUCCAUACUCCUUUUGGAAGGGAUCUUCUGGUACUUGGCACUAGAUCUCAUUCGAGUGCUCUUGCUCUUUGUCAUUCGAGCUCUUUGGCUCGCUGAUUUGCUUUCAGACUUCUUUUUCCUCAACUCGGCUUUUUAGUGUCGGAUGUCAAUUUCUGAGACCCGCCACCUGCCUCAUUGGACUUCUUUACUUUCUUAACUCAGGUUUUUAGUGUCAGCGGUUUAUUUUCGAGACCGGUCACCUACCUUAUUGAGAUCUUCAUUUUCUCAAUCGGUUUUGUGGUGUCGGUGGUCUAUUUUCGAAACCGGUCACUCAUCUCAUUGAGGUAUUCAUUUCCUCAACUAGUUUUGCAAUGCCAGCGGUUUAUUUUCGAGACCGGUCACCCACCUUAUUGAGAUCUUCAUUUUCUCAACUGGUUUUGUAAUGCCGGCGGUCUAUUUCCGAGACCAAUCACCCACCUCAUUGAGGUCUUCAUUUUCUCAAUAGACCGAGACCGAUCACCCACUUCAUUAAGGUCUUCAUUUCCCCAACUGGUUUUGUGGUGCCAGCAAUCUGUUUCCGAGACCGAUCAUCCACCUCAUUGAGGUCUUCAUUUCCUCAAUUGGUUUUGUGGUGCCGGCAGUCUAUUUUCAAGACUGGUCACCCACCUCAUUUCAUUUCCUCAACCGGUUUUGUAGCGCCGGCGGUCUAUUUUUGAGACCGGUAAUCUACCGCACUGAGGUCUUCAUUUUCUCAACCGGUUUUAUAGUGCCGACGAUCUAUUUCCGAGACUGGUCACCCACCUCAUUGAGGUAUUCUGGUUUUAUGACCGAGGCUUCCAGACUUUUUAGCCUUGUUAUUACUUUUAAAAUUUAUCUGUAAAAUAAAAGCUUGUACAGAUUGUAUGUAACAAGAAUGCUCAUUGUUAAUUUGAAUAGCAAGAUAUUUAGCUUCAUAUUUCAACUGAAUGCAAAAUAUUAAUUUUAUCCAACUAUAUCAUCUCAUAUAAUUCUAAAGAAUCUAAUAAAUAAUGUUUCUCAUUCAUAAAUCAUUCUACAGCUUUUAAUUCUCAUAACAGUAUACUUAAGCAAAUAAUCCUCUUUUUAAGGAAUUCAUAUCAAUAUUAAUCACCGAUAAAAGCUUUUUAAGCUGUUUCUAAAAUACUAUCAUGUCCAAGCAUAUAUUCAAAAGGACUACUGUUUGAAACUAGUCAUGAUGACAAAAAUACUUUGAACUAAACAGGUAACUGUAUAGUUUGGUUAACUCGCGCAUGUCACCUCUCUUUCACCCUGGACGGAUUACCCUUGUGUCGCAUUCCCUUCUCACAUUGCAGUCGACCUUUUUUUGACUUUACUGUGUGAUCAGCCAUUCUUAGGUCUUUUCUCCAUCUCUCUUUCCUUUGGUCCUUUUUUGCUAUUUGGCUAUUAACUUUUCUUUAUUUGCCAUGUGAAUCUCAACGGGCUUUGUUUGGAAACUUCAGUGAUAAGAUAUUCUCCUUCGUUUCCACAGACGAUGCCACUUGAUAAUACUAAGAUCUGGCGGGACGUUCAGAUGAGGACACUUAAACAGAGGUCUGAUUCACUGGAUUGAUC
RNAcentral lists this long non-coding RNA (1591 nucleotides) under Manihot esculenta (cassava). RNAcentral's name for it is "long non-coding RNA (MESC_LNC005875)". Lineage: Eukaryota; Viridiplantae; Streptophyta; Magnoliopsida; Malpighiales; Euphorbiaceae. The record is from RNAcentral.